GUGGGGAAUUUUCCGCAAUGGGCGAAAGCCUGACGGAGCAACGCCGCGUGUAUGAAGAAGUCUUUCGGGAUGUAAAGUACUUUCAGCAGGGACGAGUUGAAGACGGUACCUGCAGAAGAAGCAUCGGCUAACUACGUGCCAGCAGCCGCGGUAAUACGUAGGAUGCAAGCGUUGUCCGGAAUUAUUGGGCGUAAAGAGUUCGUAGGCGGUUUAUUAAGUCAGAGGUUAAAGACCAAGGCUCAACCUUGGGAGUGCCUUUGAUACUGGUAGGCUUGAGGAUGGCAGAGGAAAGUGGAAUUCCAAGUGUAGCGGUGAAAUGCGUAGAUAUUUGGAGGAACACCGGUGGCGAAAGCGACUUUCUGGGCCAUUUCUGACGCUGAGGAACGAAAGCGUGGGGAGCAAACAGGAUUAGAUACCCUUGUAGUCC
Molecule: ribosomal RNA, 427 nt
Filed under: uncultured bacterium
Lineage: Bacteria
Description: bacterial SSU rRNA
Rfam family: Bacterial small subunit ribosomal RNA
Source: RNAcentral